This 120-nucleotide ribosomal RNA is filed under the name Pteropus alecto (black flying fox). Lineage: Eukaryota; Metazoa; Chordata; Mammalia; Chiroptera; Pteropodidae. The record is from RNAcentral.
GUCUAUGGCCAUGCCACCCUGAACAAGCCUAAUCCUGUCUGAUCUUGGAAGCUAAGCAGAGUCGGUCCUGGUUAGUACUUGGAUGGGAGACCCACCUAGGAAUACCAGGUGCUGUAGGCA